This 1647-nucleotide ribosomal RNA is filed under the name Glaesserella parasuis. RNAcentral's name for it is "partial 23S ribosomal RNA". It matches the Rfam family "Bacterial large subunit ribosomal RNA", at positions 1293 to 2925 of the family's 2925-position model. The record is from RNAcentral. Lineage: Bacteria; Pseudomonadati; Pseudomonadota; Gammaproteobacteria; Pasteurellales; Pasteurellaceae.
AAUGCUGACAUAAGUAACGAUAAAACGAGUGAAAAACUCGUUCGCCGGAAGACCAAGGGUUCCUGUCCAACGUUAAUCGGGGCAGGGUGAGUCGGCCCCUAAGGCGAGGCUGAAAAGCGUAGUCGAUGGGAAACGGGUUAAUAUUCCCGUACUUGGUAAAGCUGCGAUGUGGGGACGGAGAAGGUUAGGUUAGCAGACUGUUGGAUGUCUGUUUAAGUUGGUAGGUGGGAAGUUUAGGCAAAUCCGGACUUCCAUAACACUGAGAGAUGAUGACGAGUUUCUACGGAAAUGAAGUAACUGAUACCACGCUUCCAGGAAAAGCCACUAAGCGAAAGGCUUUACUAAACCGUACUGAAAACCGACACAGGUGGUCAGGUAGAGAAUACUCAGGCGCUUGAGAGAACUCGGGUGAAGGAACUAGGCAAAAUAGCACCGUAACUUCGGGAGAAGGUGCGCUGGCGUAGGUUGUAAGAGUAUACCUCCGAAGGCUGAACCAGUCGAAGAUACCAGCUGGCUGCAACUGUUUAUUAAAAACACAGCACUCUGCAAACACGAAAGUGGACGUAUAGGGUGUGAUGCCUGCCCGGUGCUGGAAGGUUAAUUGAUGGUGUUAUCGAAAGAGAAGCUCCUGAUCGAAGCCCCAGUAAACGGCGGCCGUAACUAUAACGGUCCUAAGGUAGCGAAAUUCCUUGUCGGGUAAGUUCCGACCUGCACGAAUGGCAUAAUGAUGGCCAGGCUGUCUCCACCCGAGACUCAGUGAAAUUGAAAUCGCCGUGAAGAUGCGGUGUACCCGCGGCUAGACGGAAAGACCCCGUGAACCUUUACUAUAGCUUGACACUGAACAUUGAAUUUUGAUGUGUAGGAUAGGUGGGAGACUUAGAAGCAGGCACGCCAGUGCUUGUGGAGUCGACCUUGAAAUACCACCCUUUAACGUUUGAUGUUCUAACGAAGAUUACGAAACGUGGUCUCGGACAGUGUCUGGUGGGUAGUUUGACUGGGGCGGUCUCCUCCCAAAGCGUAACGGAGGAGCACGAAGGUUUGCUAAUCACGGUCGGACAUCGUGAGGUUAGUGCAAUGGUAUAAGCAAGCUUAACUGCGAGACAGACAAGUCGAGCAGGUGCGAAAGCAGGUCAUAGUGAUCCGGUGGUUCUGAAUGGAAGGGCCAUCGCUCAACGGAUAAAAGGUACUCCGGGGAUAACAGGCUGAUACCGCCCAAGAGUUCAUAUCGACGGCGGUGUUUGGCACCUCGAUGUCGGCUCAUCACAUCCUGGGGCUGAAGUAGGUCCCAAGGGUAUGGCUGUUCGCCAUUUAAAGUGGUACGCGAGCUGGGUUUAGAACGUCGUGAGACAGUUCGGUCCCUAUCUGCCGUGGGCGUUGGAGAAUUGAGAGGGGCUGCUCCUAGUACGAGAGGACCGGAGUGGACGCAUCACUGGUGUACCAGUUGUCUCGCCAGAGGCAUUGCUGGGUAGCUAAAUGCGGAAGAGAUAAGUGCUGAAAGCAUCUAAGCACGAAACUCGCCUUAAGAUGAGUUCUCCCUAGCUAUAAGCUAGUAAGGGUUGUUGAAGACUACGACGUAGAUAGGUCUGGUGUGUAAGCGGUGUGAGCCGUUGAGCUAACAGAUACUAAUUGCCCGAGAGGCUUAACUAU